GCAAGUCGAGCGGUAACAGAUCCAGCUUGCUGGAUGCUGACGAGCGGCGGACGGGUGAGUAAUGCAUAGGAAUCUGCCCGAUAGUGGGGGAUAACCUGGGGAAACCCAGGCUAAUACCGCAUACGUCCUACGGGAGAAAGGGGGCUCCGGCUCCCGCUAUGGGAUGAGCCUAUGUCGGAUUAGCUAGUUGGUGAGGUAACGGCUCACCAAGGCCACGAUCCGUAGCUGGUCUGAGAGGAUGAUCAGCCACAUCGGGACUGAGACACGGCCCGAACUCCUACGGGAGGCAGCAGUGGGGAAUAUUGGACAAUGGGGGAAACCCUGAUCCAGCCAUGCCGCGUGUGUGAAGAAGGCCCUCGGGUUGUAAAGCACUUUCAGCGAGGAAGAACGCCUAGCGGUUAAUACCCGCUAGGAAAGACAUCACUCGCAGAAGAAGCACCGGCUAACUCCGUGCCAGCAGCCGCGGUAAUACGGAGGGUGCAAGCGUUAAUCGGAAUUACUGGGCGUAAAGCGCGCGUAGGUGGCUUGAUAAGCCGGUUGUGAAAGCCCCGGGCUCAACCUGGGAACGGCAUCCGGAACUGUCAAGCUAGAGUGCAGGAGAGGAAGGUAGAAUUCCCGGUGUAGCGGUGAAAUGCGUAGAGAUCGGGAGGAAUACCAGUGGCGAAGGCGGCCUUCUGGACUGACACUGACACUGAGGUGCGAAAGCGUGGGUAGCAAACAGGAUUAGAUACCCUGGUAGUCCACGCCGUAAACGAUGUCGACCAGCCGUUGGGUGCCUAGCGCACUUUGUGGCGAAGUUAACGCGAUAAGUCGACCGCCUGGGGAGUACGGCCGCAAGGUUAAAACUCAAAUGAAUUGACGGGGGCCCGCACAAGCGGUGGAGCAUGUGG
This 890-nucleotide ribosomal RNA is filed under the name uncultured bacterium. Its description in RNAcentral is "bacterial SSU rRNA". It matches the Rfam family "Bacterial small subunit ribosomal RNA", at positions 57 to 944 of the family's 1533-position model. The record is from RNAcentral.